RNAcentral lists this non-coding RNA (606 nucleotides) under Capsicum annuum. RNAcentral describes it as "Eukaryotic large subunit ribosomal RNA". It matches the Rfam family "Eukaryotic large subunit ribosomal RNA", at positions 24 to 664 of the family's 3401-position model. Lineage: Eukaryota; Viridiplantae; Streptophyta; Magnoliopsida; Solanales; Solanaceae. The record is from Rfam by way of RNAcentral.
CCCACUGAGUUUAACCAUAUCAAUAAGUAGAGGAAAAGAAAAACCAGAACAACCCAGCCUUAGAAUUGGGCGGCUCUGUCGUCCAAAUUGUAGUCUGGAGAAGCGUCCUCAGAGGUGGAUCGGGCCCAAGUCCCCUGGAAGGGGGCGCCAGAGAGGAUGAGAGCCCCGUUCUGCUCGGACCCUGUCACACCAUGACACGAUGUCUACGAGUCAGGUUGUUUGGGAAUGCAGCCUAAAUUAGGCGGUGAAUUACGUCCAAGGCUAAAUACGGGCGAGAGACCGAUAGAGAACAAGUACCGCGAGGUAAAGAUAAAAAGGACUUUGAAAAGAGAGUCAAAGAGUGCUUGAAAUUGUCGGGAGGAAAGCAGAUGAGGGCCGGUGAUGCGCCCCGAUCAGAUGUGGAACGGCGAUGAGCCGAUCCGCCGAUCGACUCAGGGCGUGGACCAGUAUGGAUUGGGGGGCGGCCAAAGCCCGGGCUGUCGAUACGCUCGUGGAACGCCGUCUCCUCGAUUGUGGCAGGCAGCGCACGCCUCCGACAUGCUUUAGCAUCUGCGCACUCCAGAUGCUGGCCUGUGGGCUCCCUAUUCAACCUGUCUUGAAACACGA